AACGGGUGAGUAACACGUGGGUAACCUGCCCAGAAGUAGGGGAUAACACCUGGAAACAGAUGCUAAUACCGUAUAACAGAGAAAACCGCAUGGUUUUCUUUUAAAAGAUGGCUUUGCUAUCAAUUUUGGAUGGACCCGCGGCGUAUUAGCUAGUUGGUGAGGUAAAGGCUCACCAAGGCAGUGAUACGUAGCCGACCUGAGAGGGUAAUCGGCCACAUUGGGACUGAGACACGGCCCAGACUCCUACGGGAGGCAGCAGUAGGGAAUUUUCCACAAUGGACGCAAGUCUGAUGGAGCAACGCCGCGUGAGUGAAGAAGGGUUUCGGCUCGUAAAGCUCUGUUGUUAAAGAAGAACGUGGGUAAGAGUAACUGUUUACCCAGUGACGGUAUUUAACCAGAAAGCCACGGCUAACUACGUGCCAGCAGCCGCGGUAAUACGUAGGUGGCAAGCGUUAUCCGGAUUUAUUGGGCGUAAAGCGAGCGCAGGCGGUCUUUUAAGUCUAAUGUGAAAGCCUUCGGCUCAACCGAAGAAGUGCAUGGAAACUGGGAGAC
RNAcentral lists this ribosomal RNA (552 nucleotides) under Pediococcus pentosaceus. RNAcentral describes it as "bacterial SSU rRNA". It matches the Rfam family "Bacterial small subunit ribosomal RNA", at positions 101 to 641 of the family's 1533-position model. The record is from RNAcentral. Lineage: Bacteria; Bacillati; Bacillota; Bacilli; Lactobacillales; Lactobacillaceae.